Molecule: ribosomal RNA, 253 nt
Filed under: uncultured bacterium
Lineage: Bacteria
Description: partial 16S ribosomal RNA
Rfam family: Bacterial small subunit ribosomal RNA
Source: RNAcentral
UACGGGGGGGGCAAGCGUUGUUCGGAAUUACUGGGCGUAAAGGGCGCGUAGGCGGUCUGUCGCGUCGGCUGUGAAAUCCCGAGGCUCAACCUCGGGUCUGCAGUCGAUACGGGCAAACUAGAGUAUUGCAGGGGAGACUGGAAUUCCUGGUGUAGCGGUGAAAUGCGCAGAUAUCAGGAGGAACACCGGUGGCGAAGGCGGGUCUCUGGGCAAUAACUGACGCUGAGGAGCGAAAGCGUGGGGAGCAAACAGG